This 206-nucleotide ribosomal RNA is filed under the name uncultured bacterium. Its description in RNAcentral is "partial 16S ribosomal RNA". It matches the Rfam family "Bacterial small subunit ribosomal RNA", at positions 524 to 724 of the family's 1533-position model. The record is from RNAcentral.
UACGUAGGUGACCAGCGUUGUCCGGAUUUACUGGGCGUAAAGAGCGCGCAGGCGGUCGUUCAAGUCGAGUGUGAAAAGCCCCCCGGCUCAACUGGGGGAGGGUCAUUCGAUACUGAUCGACUUGAAGGCAGGAGAGGGAAGCGGAAUUCCCGGUGUAGUGGUGAAAUGCGUAGAUAUCGGGAGGGAACACCACGUGGGUCGGCAAG